AUGCCAAGAAAAACCCCACGCACGCAUCCAACUUCCCCAACAACAACCAACCUACGCGCCUAUAAGAACGUGCGCGCCGAGCGAGCCAGCAACCACACCCAGACCAUUCCAAGAACUGGAGUUGAGCUGCAUCGAUCGAUCUCCGUCCACGGUCGGGCCUCUGGCGUGCCAGCCAUGGCAGCCGGCUCGGCGUUUCGCGUGGCGGUGCUCGCAGCCGUCCUGCUGGUCCCUUUCCUCGGCCCGCCGGCCGUGGAGGCGCAGCUCGGGCAGGUGAGGAAGUACUGCGGCAGCCAGUUCGCCCUCGCCAGCCAGGCGUGCGCCAUCCUCCCGCCCACCAGCCCGGAGCACCGCCACCAGGACGACGAGGAUGAUGACGACGACGACGAGGACGAGGACGAGGACGAGGAUGAGGACGACGAUGAAGACGACAAGGGGGGCGGCGGCGGUGGAGGCGACAAGGGGGGUGGCGGCGGUGGAGGCGGAGGAGGAGGUGGGGGCGGGGGAGGUGAUGAUAGUGGUGGCGGCGGCGGCGGUGGCAACGCGACGUCGCUGAUCACGGCCGACCCUGAUGUGCUCCACGUGGCUGUAGCCCGCAACGGCACUGUCCGUGCCGGCCACCGUCGCACUAGGCGGACUCGUCGCAGGCGCCGCCACCACCACCGCCGUCGUCGCCGCCGCCGCGGACGCCACGUGGGCGAGGGGGAGGACGAAGGCGAGGGCGGCGAGGACGAGGACGAGGAUGAGGACGAGGACGACGAGAAGGACGACGACGACGAGGACGAGGACGAGGACGAGGACGAUGACGACGAUGACGACGACGACGAUGAGGAGGACGAGCACCGCGCGUACCGGGACUGCUGCCGGUGGCUGAAGGAGGUGGAGCCCGGGUGCGUGUGCGAGUCGCUGCUCCACCUGCCCAUGUUCCUCGUCAAGCCGCAGCACAAGUACACCGUCCGGGUCGGCAAGACCUGCGAGAUCACCUACCGCUGCGGCGGCGGCCGCGCCAUGUAG
RNAcentral lists this ribosomal RNA (1011 nucleotides) under Triticum aestivum (bread wheat). RNAcentral's name for it is "partial small subunit ribosomal RNA". Lineage: Eukaryota; Viridiplantae; Streptophyta; Magnoliopsida; Poales; Poaceae. The record is from RNAcentral.